GACGAACGCUGGCGGCGUGCUUAACACAUGCAAGUCGAACGGAAAGGCCCUUCUUUUGUGGGGUGCUCGAGUGGCGAACGGGUGAGUAGCACGUGAGUAACCUGCCCUUGACUUUGGGAUAACUUCAGGAAACUGGGGCUAAUACCGGAUAGGAGCUCCUGCUGCAUGGUGGGGGUUGGAAAGUUUCGGCGGUUGGGGAUGGACUCGCGGCUUAUCAGCUUGUUGGUGGGGUAGUGGCUUACCAAGGCUUUGACGGGUAGCCGGCCUGAGAGGGUGACCGGCCACAUUGGGACUGAGAUACGGCCCAGACUCCUACGGGAGGCAGCAGUGGGGAAUAUUGCACAAUGGGCGGAAGCCUGAUGCAGCAACGACGAGUGAGGGAUGACGGCCUUCGGGUUGUAAACCGCUUUCGCCUGUGACGAAGCGUGAGUGACGGUAAUGGGUAAAGAAGCACCGGCUAACUACGUG
Molecule: ribosomal RNA, 468 nt
Filed under: uncultured bacterium
Lineage: Bacteria
Description: partial 16S ribosomal RNA
Rfam family: Bacterial small subunit ribosomal RNA
Source: RNAcentral